ACGAGUGUCAUUUGGAUGCAUGAAAGGUGCACUUGCAGCACCUCUUCAUAGGUUGAUAACUCCAAAGGGAUUUGUUCUCAUGCUUUGGGACAAUUGUGAUCCUUUUUCUUCCUCUUCUUCGUCUUUUAUCCCUCGCUCAUUUGGUUCACUAGGAGAGGCUUACUCCGUUAAGACCAACUCUCUUUUUCCAGACCAUGUUAAUGGCGACUCAUCAAGAAUACUUGUGGUUCCUUUGUUACUUGGUCUUUUCUUUGGUGAAGAGCUUAUUGAUCUGGUUGGUGCUUUAGUGAUCAUCUGAGGAAUAAGCUGGCGCAAGCUUAUGCGUGUUAUUCUCAUCUUGUUCUUGAAGCCUUGUGGAAUAUGAGGGACAUUAACCCUGCAAAUAGGGACCUUUGAAUCUUUAGAAUAACGUCGGCGGCUUGCCUUCUUUUUCUCUAUUUUGUAGGCUUUUUUGAUGCCUCUUUAGAUUCUGGUGAUAUAUCAAGGCAGUCUUGACGUUGCUUGGCAUUUGAUUGUUCUUGUAGUUUCUCCACCCAGAUCUGUUGAUCUACAGAUAUUUCACAUUGCUUCAAUGGAUCUUCAGACGAAUGAUCUCCCUGAAUUCAGUCAUGGAUCGUUCAGAAACGCUACGUUCGAGGCUUCCAACCCUUCUUACCAGAGGAACACUUCCUUGGGCUGUUUUCCUGCGCCAAGGAAUCCUUGGUCUUCUGUAUCAUUGGUUUCCUCCUCCACCUCCGCCUCCUUCGAGGAGGAAAUGGAUUCGUCAAGCCAUGGUCUCAUGCCCCCUACUUUGCCCAGUUGUGUUUCAAGCUGUGUUGGAUCAUCGCCUGCCGUCUUCUUUGCUUCUGAGCAAUCGAUGAGCUUCCCUCAUCUUUACUUGUACCGAUCUGAUACCCUUCCAUCUUUCUCUAAAUCAACAAAGAACAGGCCUGCAGCAGCAUCGUUCUUCUUCGAUAGAGACGACGACUCCGUGAAGCAAUACAGACUUCCUUCCCAGCCGAGGGAUGCUUUGGACCCGGACUUGAAGCUUCCAAUGCUGCAGAACACAAGGGCAAGUUCCAGAGAUGGUUUCCAGGCCAGCCGGAUUCAACCUUAUCCAGGAAGAGCAGAUUGGAGUGCCUCAUUGCAAACGAAGCAUUUAAGUCCACCUCAAGUUGUUCAUGAUCCUUCUGUCGGAUGGGGUAUACCGAGCUGUUCAAUGGACAAGCCAAACCUUCGUCUUCAAACAGAGAAGCAACUGCCCAUCACCUCUGCAAGUGUCUCGUCUGCCACAGCCAUCUCAAACAAAACACGAAUCAGGUGGACACAGGAUCUCCAUGAGCGGUUUGUCGAGUGCGUGAAUCGGCUUGGAGGAGCUGAGAAAGCAACUCCAAAGGGGAUUCUGAAGCUGAUGAACUCAGAUGGGCUAACCAUAUACCACGUCAAAAGCCAUUUGCAGAAAUAUCGGAUCGCCAAGCACAUACCAGAAUCUACUGAAGGCAAGUUCGAACGAAGGGCUGCUGCCGUCAGUGUCACAGAACUCGAUCCUAAAAUUGGCAUGCAGAUAUCAGAAGCAUUGCGGCUUCAGCUGGACGUGCAAAUGCGCCUCCAUGAGCAGCUAGAGAUUCAGAAGAAUUUACAGCUAAGAAUAGAGGCACAAAGCAGAAAGCUCCAGCAGAUGUUCGAAGAGCAGGUGAGAACAACCAAAGGUCCUGCCGAGCUUGAAAACCUGGGUGAUCUGUUUUCGGGGAGUCCUGCAGCGAGUCUUGAAGAUGCUCAGUUGUGGUGUGCCCCGGAUGGGCCACAGAGCGCAGACUUCCCAUUGCAGAAAUGCUAGCUUUAAGAUACAGCAUAGAAUUGCUGUGGACAAAGGGGAGGCUUCGAGGAGCUUCGAGGAGCUUCGAGGAGGCUGACCUUUGCGGACGGACACGCAAAGGUGCCGCACGAUUUAAGCAAAACCAGCUAAGUCAGGAAGAAAAAUUUUACUCCAAAAUAUUCCCUUAAUAAACAUAUUAUAACAAUUAUUUAAGACACGAUAAUUAAUAUUAAUUAUUUUUUACUAAAUUUAUUUUAUCCUCAUCAAAAUUGACGAAGAGAUCAGAUCGAAAACCCUAAUCAACCUUAGUAUUCAUACAAGUUGAUUUAGGUGGGUCCAGUAUCGAUGGAGUGUUCGUUUCGAGAGUAUCGAGCAACAACGCAAGCAUAUAUAUCUCCGGAGCGGCACGACCGGUCUCUGGAAGUCUCUGGAAUCUUCUCCUAUAAUAAAUUGCUCCUCUCCUCCACCUCGCUCCCGUUGCCCGCGCCACCGUCUUGGUUCGUGGUCGAUCUCAGCCGCCGAGGAAUUCGACACGCCCACCGACGAGGACACGAUGGACGUCCCAAAUGGCGACCCCGCCCUCCAGAUCGGCGAUUGGGUCAGAGUGUAUCUCGCUGGGACGCUGCUCGACGGGACUAAGUUCGACUCCGCCCGUGAUCGGGAUACCCCGUUCAGGUUCAAUCGCGGCCUAGGUGAGGGGGCUUUUGUUUCCAAAUUCUUGCUGUCUUGUUCGAUGAAACUGCUUCUCCUCCCUCUGCGAGUUUGAACAAAGGUCUGCUGUCAGAUGACACAGAACAUGAUCCUAAAAUUGGCAUGCAGAUAACAGGAGCAUUGCGGCUUCAGCUAGAUGUCCAAAGGCGCCUUCAUGAGCAGCUAGAGGUGCAUGCUUCCAUAAUGUUGCAGGCAACUCCGAACAAAGGGCUGCUGUCGAUGUCACAGAACAUGAUCUUACAAUUGGCAUGCAGAUAACGGAAGCAUUACGGCUUCAGCUAGAUGACCAAAGGUGCCUUCAGGAGCAGCCAGAGAUGCACUUCGUGAGACUCCUCUUACAGUAAUUUGAUUGAAGUCCUCCUGCUGAAUCAAAAAUAUCAGAAAUGUUUCUCUUUUAUUUUUCUCUUACUAAGACCCAAAGAAAUUUACAGCAGAGGAUAAAGUAGAAUGCUCCAGCAGAUGUUUGAAGAGAAAGUGAAAACAAAAAAAAGUGCUAUUGAGCCUGAAAACCUGGCUAUUUUGUUUUCAAAUAGUCCAGAGAGUCUUAAAGAUGCUCAGUUCUUGUGUGCCCCAGAUGGGUCACAGAACACAUUUCCAAUUGAAGAUUGGUUAGCUUUAAGAUGUAGCAUAUAAUUCCUGUAUAAGUGUGCAUAAAUUUACCAGCUUUCUUGCUGUUUCAUGCUGAUCAACAUGAUUAGUAUCUCUUUGCAGGUUUUAAGGAUGCCUUUUGUAAUAUCCUCAAUUACUCAAAGAGAACUUUCAGUAAGUUGAUGGUAGAUCUCCACUCUGGAUUUAGAAGGGGUUGUAGAAUUCGAUGUAAGCACCAUUUUUAAUUAGUGGAUUAAGUAUAGUGGAAUAUUUGUUUCAGAA
Musa acuminata AAA Group (dessert banana) is the source of this 3376-nucleotide RNA transcript. It is a transcript of the gene named myb family transcription factor RLI1-like, with no coding region annotated. Lineage: Eukaryota; Viridiplantae; Streptophyta; Magnoliopsida; Zingiberales; Musaceae. The record is from RefSeq and is a predicted model, not a curated record. The transcript has 12 exons.